AUUGAACGCUGGCGGCAUGCCUUACACAUGCAAGUCGAACGGCAGCACGGGAGCAAUCCUGGUGGCGAGUGGCGAACGGGUGAGUAAUACAUCGGAACGUGCCCAAUCGUGGGGGAUAACGCAGCGAAAGCUGUGCUAAUACCGCAUACGAUCUACGGAUGAAAGCAGGGGAUCGCAAGACCUUGCGCGAAUGGAGCGGCCGAUGGCAGAUUAGGUAGUUGGUGAGGUAAAGGCUCACCAAGCCGUCGAUCUGUAGCUGGUCUGAGAGGACGACCAGCCACACUGGGACUGAGACACGGCCCAGACUCCUACGGGAGGCAGCAGUGGGGAAUUUUGGACAAUGGGCGAAAGCCUGAUCCAGCCAUGCCGCGUGCAGGAUGAAGGCCUUCGGGUUGUAAACUGCUUUUGUACGGAACGAAACGGCCUUUUCUAAUAAAGAGGGCUAAUGACGGUACCGUAAGAAUAAGCACCGGCUAACUACGUGCCAGCAGCCGCGGUAAUACGUAGGGUGCAAGCGUUAAUCGGAAUUACUGGGCGUAAAGCGUGCGCAGGCGGUUAUGUAAGACAGUUGUGAAAUCCCCGGGCUCAACCUGGGAACUGCAUCUGUGACUGCAUAGCUAGAGUACGGUAGAGGGGGAUGGAAUUCCGCGUGUAGCAGUGAAAUGCGUAGAUAUGCGGAGGAACACCGAUGGCGAAGCAAUCCCCUGGACCUGUACUGACGCUCAUGCACGAAAGCGUGGGGAGCAAACGGG
Molecule: ribosomal RNA, 752 nt
Filed under: uncultured Comamonadaceae bacterium
Lineage: Bacteria; Pseudomonadati; Pseudomonadota; Betaproteobacteria; Burkholderiales; Comamonadaceae
Description: bacterial SSU rRNA
Rfam family: Bacterial small subunit ribosomal RNA
Source: RNAcentral